GACGAACGCUGGCGGCGUGCUUAACACAUGCAAGUCGAACGGAAAGGCCCUGCUUUUGUGGGGUGCUCGAGUGGCGAACGGGUGAGUAACACGGGAGUAACCUGCCCUUGACUUUGGGAUAACUUCAGGAAACUGGGGCUUAUACCGGAUAGGAGCUCCUGCUGCAUGGUGGGGGUUGGAAAGUUUCGGCGGUUGGGGAUGGACUCGCGGCUUAUCAGCUUGUUGGUGGGGUAGUGGCUUACCAAGGCUUUGAUGGGUAGCCGGCCUGAGAGGGUGACCGGCCACAUUGGGACUGAGAUACGGCCCAGACUCCUACGGGAGGCAGCAGUGGGGAAUAUUGCACAAUGGGCGGAAGCCUGAUGCAGCAACGCCGCGUGCGGGAUGACGGCCUUCGGGUUGUAAACCGCUUUCGCCUGUGACGAAGCGUGAGUGACGGUAAUGGGUAAAGAAGCACCGGCUAACUACGUG
This 468-nucleotide ribosomal RNA is filed under the name uncultured bacterium. Its description in RNAcentral is "partial 16S ribosomal RNA". It matches the Rfam family "Bacterial small subunit ribosomal RNA", at positions 28 to 507 of the family's 1533-position model. The record is from RNAcentral.